GAGUUUGAUCAUGGCUCAGGACGAACGCUGGCGGCGUGCUUAAUACAUGCAAGUCGAGCGCAGGAAAUCGACGGAACCCUUCGGGGGGAAGUCGACGGAAUGAGCGGCGGACGGGUGAGUAACACGUAAAGAACCUGCCCUCAGGUCUGGGAUAACCACGAGAAAUCGGGGCUAAUACCGGAUGGGUCAUCGGACCGCAUGGUCCGAGGAUGAAAGGCGCUUCGGCGUCGCCUGUGGAUGGCUUUGCGGUGCAUUAGCUAGUUGGUGGGGUAAUGGCCCACCAAGGCGACGAUGCAUAGCCGACCUGAGAGGGUGAUCGGCCACACUGGGACUGAGACACGGCCCAGACUCCUACGGGACGCAGCAGA
This 368-nucleotide ribosomal RNA is filed under the name uncultured Exiguobacterium sp. FR016. RNAcentral's name for it is "bacterial SSU rRNA". It matches the Rfam family "Bacterial small subunit ribosomal RNA", at positions 9 to 355 of the family's 1533-position model. Lineage: Bacteria; Bacillati; Bacillota; Bacilli; Caryophanales. The record is from RNAcentral.